ACUCCUACGGGAGGCAGCAGUGGGGAAUCUUGGACAAUGGGGGCAACCCUGAUCCAGCCAUGCCGCGUGAGUGAUGAAGGCCCUAGGGUCGUAAAGCUCUUUCGCCAGGGAUGAUAAUGACAGUACCUGGUAAAGAAACCCCGGCUAACUCCGUGCCAGCAGCCGCGGUAAUACGGAGGGGUUAGCGUUGUUCGGAAUUACUGGGGCGUAAAGCGCGCGUAGGCGGACCAGAAAGUUGGGGGUGAAAUCCCGGGGCUCAACCCCGGAACUGCCUCCAAAACUCCUGGUCUUGAGUUCGAGAGAGGUGAGUGGAAUUCCGAGUGUAGAGGUGAAAUUCGUAGAUAUUCGGAGGAACACCAGUGGCGAAGGCGGCUCACUGGCUCGAUACUGACGCUGAGGUGCGAAAGUGUGGGGAGCAAACAGGAUUAGAUACCCUGGUAGGAUAGCG
RNAcentral lists this ribosomal RNA (448 nucleotides) under uncultured bacterium. RNAcentral's name for it is "bacterial SSU rRNA". It matches the Rfam family "Bacterial small subunit ribosomal RNA", at positions 335 to 799 of the family's 1533-position model. The record is from RNAcentral.